CGUGUCGUGAGAUGUUGGGUUAAGUCCCGCAACGAGCGCAACCCUUGCCAUUAGUUGCUACAUUCAGUUGGGCACUCUAAUGGGACUGCCGGUGACAAACCGGAGGAAGGUGGGGAUGACGUCAAGUCCUCAUGGCCCUUAUGGGAAGGGCUUCACACGUAAUACAAUGGUAGGUACAGAGGGCAGCCAACCCGCGAGGGGGAGCUAAUCCCAGAAAGCCUAUCGUAGUCCGGAUUGUAGUCUGCAACUCGACUACAUGAAGCCGGAAUCGCUAGUAAUCGCGGAUCAGCAUGUCGCGGUGAAUACGUUCCCGGGUCUU
Molecule: ribosomal RNA, 319 nt
Filed under: uncultured bacterium
Lineage: Bacteria
Description: bacterial SSU rRNA
Rfam family: Bacterial small subunit ribosomal RNA
Source: RNAcentral